Ostrea edulis (European flat oyster) is the source of this 588-nucleotide long non-coding RNA. RefSeq lists it as uncharacterized. NCBI's taxonomy places the organism in Eukaryota, Metazoa, Mollusca, Bivalvia, Ostreida, Ostreidae. The record is from RefSeq and is a predicted model, not a curated record. The transcript has 2 exons.
ACGUAUUUACAUUAACUUCUGGGAUCGUACCUGGUCAAUUCCAGGGUUUGGGGUAUUCAACAAUAACUAAUUUAAACUAAUUGGUAUGAUUUUAGUGGACUGCCAAAAUAUACAAAUAUGUCCUAACCUUAUCUAGGUAAAUUAUAAUCAAACAGAGAAUCACUAUAUCAAUCAGAGGCAAGCAACGAUAAACUGGUAGUGCUAACUAACAAAAUGUAGAUCUAGAGCCCAGUCGCCCUCGGAUUACCCCAUAUACUGUAGGACGCCUUAUUCAGGACGGACAGUAUAUGUGGUAGCCCUUCAACCACUACACUCACUGUAGGAUGCCUUAUUCAGGACGGACAAUGAGUAUAGCGGCCUGGACGACGGUCUGUUCAGCCAAUGCGGACGACACCGAAGAAAACAAACUAUGGCUAGCCUCUUUACUGGAGGUCAACCUCUUCGUGGCAGGCCAGACUUCUGAUGGCCUUCCAAAUUCACUCUCUAACUGGUGUAAAGGUAGUCCCGAAGAUUUUACGAAGAAAACGCAUUUCCGGUUUUUGUUUUUGCCUUGUUAAUAAUUGAAAUAAAACCUUUUCUGUGUUUUAU